RNAcentral lists this ribosomal RNA (469 nucleotides) under uncultured Pseudanabaenaceae cyanobacterium. RNAcentral describes it as "bacterial SSU rRNA". It matches the Rfam family "Bacterial small subunit ribosomal RNA", at positions 20 to 524 of the family's 1533-position model. Lineage: Bacteria; Bacillati; Cyanobacteriota; Cyanophyceae; Pseudanabaenales; Pseudanabaenaceae. The record is from RNAcentral.
UGGCUCAGGAUGAACGCUGGCGGUAUGCUUAACACAUGCAAGUCGAACGAACGUUUUCGGACGUUAGUGGCGGACGGGUGAGUAACGCGUGAGAAUCUACCUUCAGGUUGGGGAUAACAGACGGAAACGACUGCUAAUACCCAAUAUACCGAGAGGAGAAAGGCUAGCUGCCUGAAGAUGAGCUCGCGUCCGAUUAGCUAGUUGGUGAGGUAAGGGCUUACCAAGGCGAUGAUCGGUAGCUGGUCUGAGAGGAUGAUCAGCCACACUGGGACUGAGACACGGCCCAGACUCCUACGGGAGGCAGCAGUGGGGAAUUUUCCGCAAUGGGCGAAAGCCUGACGGAGCAAUACCGCGUGAGGGACGAAGGCCUGUGGGGUUGUAAACCUCUUUUCUCAGGGGAAGAAGUUCUGACGGGUACCUGAGGGAAUCAAGCAUCGGGCUAAACUCCGUGCCAGCCCGCCGCCGUAAU